Molecule: ribosomal RNA, 468 nt
Filed under: uncultured bacterium
Lineage: Bacteria
Description: partial 16S ribosomal RNA
Rfam family: Bacterial small subunit ribosomal RNA
Source: RNAcentral
GACGAACGCUGGCGGCGUGCUUAACACAUGCAAGUCGAACGGAAAGGCCCUGCUUUUGUGGGGUGCUCGAGUGGCGAACGGGUGAGUAACACGUGAGUAACCUGCCCUUGACUUUGGGAUAACUUCAGGAAACUGGGGCUAAUACCGGAUAGGAGCUCCUGCUGCAUGGUGGGGGUUGGAAAGUUUCGGCGGUUGGGGAUGGACUCGCGGCUUAUCAGCUUGUUGGUGGGGUAGUGGCUUACCAAGGCUUUGACGGGUAGCCGGCCUGGGAGGGUGACCGGCCACAUUAGGACUGAGGGACGGCCCAGACUCCUACGGGAGGCAACAGUGGGGAAUAUUGCACAGUGGGCGGAAGCCUGAUGCGGCAACGCCGCGUGCGGGAUGACGGCCUUCGGGUUGUAAACCGCUUUCGCCUGUGACGAAGCGUGAGUGACGGUAAUGGGUAAAGAAGCACCGGCUAACUACGUG